AUCACGAUUUAUUUUUCAUCUCAUUGUCUGUACCACUUAUAUUUCACACAAAUCAGGCAAACCCAGGCAUUUAUUCUUAGUUUAUCUGUAGCAUCGCGCGCUAAAUGGUAAAAACAAACAAACAAAAAAAUUGGCUCUUAGUCAUUUCAAUGACUAAAUACAUUCGGAGAUCUGAUUAGAUCACCUUCAUAUUUCUCAGGUCGCAUGACGUGAUUGAAAUGCUUUUGGCAAAUUGAGUAGUGACUUCUAGGUUAAAUACUCUUUUAUUACCUGUUCUGUAUUGGAAAUUCAGAAUAAUGGAAAAUUGCCAUUAUAUUCCCUACUGGAUAGGCCAUUGCUAUUCUCGCUUCUAUUUCUCAAGGGAUAAUGUACAAAUGAUCAAGCUCGUAUAUUUUCACAUUGGAGAAGACUGACUGAAAACAAUCGCACCCAUUUGCUAAAUCGCAGGUCAAAUGUGCUUUAUUAUUAUGGAGUCAGUAAAGGACUGUCUAAAUUGUGUAACGUUAUAAGCGUAAGCCUCGUCCCUAGUCUGACGUAAAUGCAAAUUAGGCCUAGACCACAUUGACACUUCGUUUAAAAAACAAAAUCUCGUCCACGUGAAAACGCAACAAUGUGGUCUGAAGCGCUGUCAAGAGCAUGCAAAACCAAUAGGUGGCAAUAAGAUCUCAACCGUAAAGCCAUGUUGGCCAAUCAGAAGCCUGAGACGCCGACUUCACAAGCAGUGUUGCCAGAUUGGGCGUGUCUCCGCCCAAUUAGGCUUCUUUUGGUCACGUCUCACCGGGGAAAAAAUUGCAUUGGGCGGGUUGAUGAAAUCUGGGCUGGUUUUGAUGCAACUGGCGGGUUUUUAUUUUUGACUAUAAACAUAUUUUAUUAUUUUUUUAUUCAAACGAAUAAAUAAAGUAUAAUAUGUAAUGUUGUUUUAAUUACAUGGUUCAGUUUAGCCAAUAAGGUUCAGGAGAGUCCUGUCCAGUCAGACUUCAGUCUUGAUAAGCGGGUUGUUGUAAUCGUUCUAUUAAUUGGUAUAACUGUUUGUUAUUGUAUUAGUUAUAAUGGUAUGCAUUUUGGGCUCGUAUUUUUUUUAAUGGGCAGGUUUUAUGAUCUACUUGUCUUUAGUCCAAUCUGGCAACCCUGUUCACAAGCCAAAAAUCACCGGUUUCGGUGUCUACAUGAUAACACUGCAACCGGAGUUUUAAAAAAAACUUGACCCUGGCUGGAGAUUUCAAAACUGCUCGGUUUCAGUGACCUGAUGCUGCGUUUGCGUGUGGACGAACGGCCAAACCGCAUAAAAGAAAGCGGCGGUUUUAAAAAUACCCGCGUUCGUGUGGAGAAGGGCCUUAGAGUACAGAAAAACAGUGGGAUAUACACCGAUCAGGCAUAACAUUAUGACCACCUGCCUAUUAUUGUGUUGGUCCCCCUUUUGCUGCCAAAACAGCCCUGACCCAUUGAGGCAUGAACUCCCCGAGAUCCCUGAAGGUGUGCUGUGGUAUCUGGCACCAAGAUGUUAACAGCAGAUAAUUUAAAUACUGUAAGUUGUGAGGUGGGGCCUCCAUGGGUCUUAAAGGAUAUUUUUGAUAGAUACUGACCACUGCAGACCGGGAACACCCCACAAGAGCUGCAGUUUUGGAGAUGCUGUGAUCCAGUCGUCUAGCCAUCACAAUUUGGCCCUUGUCAAACUCGCUCAAAUCCUUGCCCUUGCCCAUUUUUCCUGCUUCUAACACAUCAACCUUGAGGACAAAAUGUGCACUUGCUGACUAAUAUAUCCCACCCACUAACAGGUGCCAUGACGAGGAGAUAAUCAGUGUUAUUCACUUCACCUGUCAGUGCUCAUAAUGUUAUGCCGGCUUGGUGUAUAACUUUCUACCACUGCAAUAUAUUACAUAAAAUACAUUAAAAAUGCUACAGUUAUAAUUCAUAUCUUUUUCUCAAAAGAGAAAAAAAGACAUUUCUAUGGUACUAAUGAUUUUAUUACUUAUUGACUGAUGUGUGCAAUGUUACUUAAAAAACUGGGCCCACGUCCUAAUAUGAGGUCUUGUUGUUAUUUUAAUGCCUUCCAUCAGACUGAGGAGUCUCUUACAUUAAUUGUCUAAUUGUGUGGUGGAUGAGUAUCACUAUGUUAUCUAUGUUGUAAACGUUGUCUCUCUUAUAAUAAAGCACUUGAGUGUUCAGUAAAGCUCUUAAGGUGAUAAACUGUCAUUUAAUUUGUACAACACACUAAAUUAGAGACAAUCACACAUAAAAGUUAAACAUAAAAGAUUACACACUUCCCCUUUGACUCGGAAUCAAGCUUCUCUAGCUCUGCGUGCGGUGUGUCCAUGCUAAUGUUCUCAAAGGACACGGAGCUUUUGACAGACGCACACUGGGAGGGAAACAGGGAGACUGAGGUUCAGUUGCCUAAUGGUGUGCAGUGAUGUCUAAGUUCCAAAGUAAGAAAUGAACGUGUUUGUAUUACUGAGUAUCUGUAUUUAGGUCGAUUUAUUUUGAACACACAUGCGUAUCCCUUUUAACUUUAUUCCUUUGCUUGGCUUUUAUUAAUUAUGGGAUGUGUGCUAUUAAGGAGGCACAAUAUUAUUUAGGUUUCAUUAGAUGACUUUAUUUCAGAAUUACACGAAGUUGAUUGCUGCCCAGAGUAAUAGUUUUUGUUUAACUGUUCAUGGGCUUAAAAGGGAAGACAUGAUGUCGACAGACGUGCAUCUCUGCUCAUAAUUCUUUCGUACUGAAGCGUCCUGUGUAAUUUUCCAACAACUUUUAAGGUCUUGGUUAGAUGCUUGGUAUCUUUUUGGUAUGGUUUUCAGACAGAAAGAAGUGAUCCAUCUCUUUGCUUUCUAGCAUUGCUGGCUGGAAUUUAGUUUUGAUAUUAUUUGAAAACUCCUGGCUGGAGAUUUUAAAACUGCUCGGUUUCAGUGACCUGAUGCUGCGUUUGCGUGUGGACGAACGCCCAAACCGCAUAGAAAAAGCUGCGGUUUUAAAAAUACCUGCGUUCGUGUGAACAGGGCCUUAGAGUACAGAAAAACAGUGGGAUAUACACCGAUCAGGCAUAACAUUAUGACCACCUGCCUAUUAUUGUGUUGGUCCCCCUUUUGCUGCCAAAACAGCCCUGACCCAUCGAGGCAUGAACUCCCCUAGAUCCCUGAAGGUGUGCUGUGGUAUCUGGCACCAAGAUGUUAGCAGCAGAUCCUUUAAAUCCUGUAAGUUGUGAGGUGGGGCCUCAAUGGACCUUAAAGGAUAUUUUUCAUAGAUACUGACCACUGCAGACCGGAGAUGCUGUGAUCCGGUCGUCUAGCCAUCACAAUUUAGCCCUUGUCAAACUCGCUCAAAUCCUUACACUUGCCCAUUUUUCCUGCUUCUAUCACAUCAACCUUGAGGACAAAAUGUUCACUUGCUGCCUAAUAUAUCCCACCCACUAACAGGCGCCAAGAUGAGGAGAUAAACAGUGUUAUUCACGUCACCUGUCAGUGGUCAUAAUGUUAUGCAUGCUUGGUGUAUAACUUUCUACCACUGCAAUAUAUUACAUAAAAAAGCAUUAAAAAUGCUACAGUUAUAAUUCAUAUCUUUUCCUCAAAAGAGAAAAAAGACAUUUCUACGGUACUAAUGAUUUUAUUACUUAUUGACUGAUGUGUGCAAUGUUACUUAAAAAACCGGGCCCACGUCCUAAUAUGAGGUCUUGUUGUUAUUUUAAUGCCUUCCAUCAGACUGAGGAGUCUCUUACAUUAAUUGUCUAAUUGUGUGGUGGAUGAGUAUCACUAUGUUAUCUGUGUUGUAAACGUUGUCUCUCUUAUAAUAAAGCACUUGAGCGUUCAGUAAAGCUCUUAAGGUGAUAAACUGUCAUUUAAAACUGUCACAUAAAAGUUAAAUACAAAAGACUACACACUUCCCCUUUGACUCGGAAUCAAGCUUCUCUAGCUCUGCAUCUGAGCAGUGAAUUGAGUCUAUAUUUUGCGGGCUGCGAUCUAGCAUGUCUUCCCGCUGUUUCACUCCGCGUGGACACUGGCGCGCAAUGCGCUCGUGCUAUUGGCGGUAAAUACCCUGCGUGCGGUGUGUCCAUGCUAAUUUCCUCAAAAGACACUGUCUAAACCUGUUAUGCACGGCGAAGCUUUUGACAGACGCUCACUGGGAGGGAAAGAGGAAGACUGAUUUGCUGAUUAUUAAGGAGGUUCAGUUGCCUAAGCGCGUGCAAUGAUGUCUAAGUUCCAAGUAGGCCAUAAUUUAAACCUGCCUGUGAAAGAAACACUUCCUGAUCCAAAAUGUGGUUUGUCUCAGAAUGAGGAUGAUCAGGGGAGGCUUUUACAUCAUGAAUUUCAAGCGAACCAGAGUGUUAGAUUCCGAGAUGCCUUAGCAACUUGCCUUACGCAAUGUCUCGAUGCUACAUGCAAGGUUUUUGGGUGCUGCCGCAGGAGCUGCUCAGCAGACCAUGACGUGCCAUUAUCAGAGGAAGAAACAGAGCCGGAGCCUUGGAUUCUAAAUAAAGAUGAAAAAUGAACUUGCACCAUGUUUAACAGUGCAGCUAGGCCUGUUGUCUUAAAAGCAAUUAUGCAUAUGAAAGAUCUUUUUUUUAAUAUAAA
Hemibagrus wyckioides is the source of this 4559-nucleotide long non-coding RNA. RefSeq lists it as uncharacterized. Lineage: Eukaryota; Metazoa; Chordata; Actinopteri; Siluriformes; Bagridae. The transcript is spliced from 4 exons. The record is from RefSeq and is a predicted model, not a curated record.